RNAcentral lists this small nuclear RNA (121 nucleotides) under Canis lupus familiaris (dog). Lineage: Eukaryota; Metazoa; Chordata; Mammalia; Carnivora; Canidae. The record is from RNAcentral.
GCGCUUACUUCGGCAGCACAUACACUAAAAUUGGAAUGAUACAAAAAAAAAAAAGAUACAGAAAUUAGCGUGGCCCCUGCACAAGGAUGAUAUGCAAAUUCAUAAAGCGUUCCAUAAAAAU